AUUGAACGCUGGCGGCAGGCCUAACACAUGCAAGUCGAGCGGAUGAAGGGAGCUUGCUCCUGGAUUCAGCGGCGGACGGGUGAGUAAUGCCUAGGAAUCUGCCUGGUAGUGGGGGAUAACGUCCGGAAACGGGCGCUAAUACCGCAUACGUCCUGAGGGAGAAAGUGGGGGAUCUUCGGACCUCACGCUAUCAGAUGAGCCUAGGUCGGAUUAGCUAGUUGGUGGGGUAAAGGCCUACCAAGGCGACGAUCCGUAACUGGUCUGAGAGGAUGAUCAGUCACACUGGAACUGAGACACGGUCCAUACUCCUGCGGGAGGCAGCAGUGGGGAAUAUUAGGCAGUAGGCGGAAACCUGAUCCAGCGGUGCCGCGUGUGUGAAGAAGGUCUUCGGAUUGUAAAGCACUUUAACUUGGGGGGAAGGGCAGUAAGUUAAUACCAAGCUGUUUUGACGUUACCGACAGAAUAAGCACCGGCUAACUUCGUG
This 484-nucleotide ribosomal RNA is filed under the name uncultured bacterium. RNAcentral's name for it is "partial 16S ribosomal RNA". It matches the Rfam family "Bacterial small subunit ribosomal RNA", at positions 30 to 507 of the family's 1533-position model. The record is from RNAcentral.